Molecule: ribosomal RNA, 372 nt
Filed under: uncultured organism
Description: bacterial SSU rRNA
Rfam family: Bacterial small subunit ribosomal RNA
Source: RNAcentral
CGGGGGGGGCAAGCGUUGUUCGGAAUUACUGGGCGUAAAGGGCUCGUAGGUGGCCAACUAAGUCAGACGUGAAAUCCCUCGGCUUAACCGGGGAACUGCGUCUGAUACUGGAUGGCUGGAGUUUGGGAGAGGGAUGCGGAAUUCCAGGUGUAGCGGUGAAAUGCGUAGAUAUCUGGAGGAACACCGGUGGCGAAGGCGGCAUCCUGGACCAACACUGACGCUGAGGAGCGAAAGCCAGGGGAGCAAACGGGAUUAGAUACCCCGGUAGUCCUGGCCCUAAACGAUGAAUGCUUGGUGUGGCGGGUAUCGAUCCCUGCCGUGCCGAAGCUAACGCAUUAAGCAUUCCGCCUGGGGAGUACGGUCGCAAGGCUG